This 87-nucleotide transfer RNA is filed under the name Candidatus Levyibacteriota bacterium. RNAcentral's name for it is "tRNA-Ser". It matches the Rfam family "tRNA". From Rfam's summary of the family: Transfer RNA (tRNA) molecules are approximately 80 nucleotides in length. Their secondary structure includes four short double-helical elements and three loops (D, anti-codon, and T loops). Lineage: Bacteria; Candidatus Levyibacteriota. The record is from RNAcentral.
GGAAGAGUAGCCAAGUGGUCGACGGCACCGCUUUCGAAAAGCGGCAUGGCUGCAAAGUCAUCGCGAGUUCGAAUCUCGCCUCUUCCG